ACCGCCCAUCGCUACUAUUGAUUGGAUGGUUUAGUGAGGUUGUUGGAGUGACUUAGCCGCUCGACUGAUACUGAGAAGAUGACCUAAUUCGACUGUUUAGAUGAAGUAAAAGUCGUAACAAGGUUUCCGUAGACAAAUUAACAAAGA
Molecule: non-coding RNA, 147 nt
Filed under: Schistosoma curassoni
Lineage: Eukaryota; Metazoa; Platyhelminthes; Trematoda; Strigeidida; Schistosomatidae
Description: Eukaryotic small subunit ribosomal RNA
Rfam family: Eukaryotic small subunit ribosomal RNA
Source: Rfam by way of RNAcentral